UACGGAAGGCAGCAGUGGGGAAUAUUGCACAAUGGGCGCAAGCCUGAUGCAGCCAUGCCGCGUGUAUGAAGAAGGCCUUCGGGUUGUAAAGUACUUUCAGUCGUGAGGAAGGUGUUAAGGUUAAUAACCUUAGCAAUUGACGUUAGCGACAGAAGAAGCACCGGCUAACUCCGUGCCAGCAGCCGCGGUAAUACGGAGGGUGCGAGCGUUAAUCGGAAUUACUGGGCGUAAAGGGCACGCAGGCGGUUAAUUAAGUUGGAUGUGAAAUCCCCGGGCUUAACCUGGGAAUGGCACUCAAGACUGGUUAGCUAGAGUCUUGUAGAGGGGGUAGAAUUCCAUGUGUAGCGGUGAAAUGCGUAGAGAUGUGGAGGAAUACCGGUGGCGAAGGCGGCCCCUGGACAAAGGCUGACGCUCAUGUGCGAAAGCGUGGGGAGCGAAAC
RNAcentral lists this ribosomal RNA (440 nucleotides) under uncultured bacterium. Its description in RNAcentral is "bacterial SSU rRNA". It matches the Rfam family "Bacterial small subunit ribosomal RNA", at positions 340 to 774 of the family's 1533-position model. The record is from RNAcentral.